This 1294-nucleotide ribosomal RNA is filed under the name Bacillus sp. (in: firmicutes). RNAcentral's name for it is "bacterial SSU rRNA". It matches the Rfam family "Bacterial small subunit ribosomal RNA", at positions 79 to 1362 of the family's 1533-position model. Lineage: Bacteria; Bacillati; Bacillota; Bacilli; Caryophanales; Bacillaceae. The record is from RNAcentral.
CUUGCUCCCGGAUGUUAGCGGCGGACGGGUGAGUAACACGUGGGUAACCUGCCUGUAAGACUGGGAUAACUCCGGGAAACCGGAGCUAAUACCGGAUAGUUCCUUGAACCGCAUGGUUCAAGGAUGAAAGACGGUUUCGGCUGUCACUUACAGAUGGACCCGCGGCGCAUUAGCUAGUUGGUGAGGUAACGGCUCACCAAGGCGACGAUGCGUAGCCGACCUGAGAGGGUGAUCGGCCACACUGGGACUGAGACACGGCCCAGACUCCUACGGGAGGCAGCAGUAGGGAAUCUUCCGCAAUGGACGAAAGUCUGACGGAGCAACGCCGCGUGAGUGAUGAAGGUUUUCGGAUCGUAAAGCUCUGUUGUUAGGGAAGAACAAGUGCAAGAGUAACUGCUUGCACCUUGACGGUACCUAACCAGAAAGCCACGGCUAACUACGUGCCAGCAGCCGCGGUAAUACGUAGGUGGCAAGCGUUGUCCGGAAUUAUUGGGCGUAAAGGGCUCGCAGGCGGUUUCUUAAGUCUGAUGUGAAAGCCCCCGGCUCAACCGGGGAGGGUCAUUGGAAACUGGGAAACUUGAGUGCAGAAGAGGAGAGUGGAAUUCCACGUGUAGCGGUGAAAUGCGUAGAGAUGUGGAGGAACACCAGCGAAGGCGACUCUCUGGUCUGUAACUGACGCUGAGGAGCGAAAGCGUGGGGAGCGAACAGGAUUAGAUACCCUGGUAGUCCACGCCGUAAACGAUGAGUGCUAAGUGUUAGGGGGUUUCCGCCCCUUAGUGCUGCAGCUAACGCAUUAAGCACUCCGCCUGGGGAGUACGGUCGCAAGACUGAAACUCAAAGGAAUUGACGGGGGCCCGCACAAGCGGUGGAGCAUGUGGUUUAAUUCGAAGCAACGCGAAGAACCUUACCAGGUCUUGACAUCCUCUGACAACCCUAGAGAUAGGGCUUUCCCUUCGGGGACAGAGUGACAGGUGGUGCAUGGUUGUCGUCAGCUCGUGUCGUGAGAUGUUGGGUUAAGUCCCGCAACGAGCGCAACCCUUGAUCUUAGUUGCCAGCAUUCAGUUGGGCACUCUAAGGUGACUGCCGGUGACAAACCGGAGGAAGGUGGGGAUGACGUCAAAUCAUCAUGCCCCUUAUGACCUGGGCUACACACGUGCUACAAUGGACAGAACAAAGGGCUGCGAGACCGCAAGGUUUAGCCAAUCCCACAAAUCUGUUCUCAGUUCGGAUCGCAGUCUGCAACUCGACUGCGUGAAGCUGGAAUCGCUAGUAAUCGCGGAUCAGCAUGCCGCGG